AUGCAAGUCGAACGAGAAUCUACUGAAAGAGUUUUCGGACAAUGGAUGUAGAGGAAAGUGGCGGACGGGUGAGUAACGCGUGAGGAACCUGCCUUGAAGAGGGGGACAACAGUUGGAAACGACUGCUAAUACCGCAUAACGCAUAGGGGUCGCAUGAUCUUUAUGCCAAAGAUUUAUUGCUUCAAGAUGGCCUCGCGUCUGAUUAGCUAGUUGGCGGGGUAACGGCCCACCAAGGCGACGAUCAGUAGCCGGACUGAGAGGUUGAACGGCCACAUUGGGACUGAGAUACGGCCCAGACUCCUACGGGAGGCAGCAGUGGGGAAUAUUGGGCAAUGGGCGCAAGCCUGACCCAGCAACGCCGCGUGAAGGAAGAAGGCUUUCGGGUUGUAAACUUCUUUUAAGAGGGAAGAGUAGAAGACGGUACCUCUAGAAUAAGCCACGGCUAACUACGUGCCAGCAGCCGCGGUAAUACGUAGGUGGCAAGCGUUGUCCGGAUUUACUGGGUGUAAAGGGCGUGCAGCCGGGUCUGCAAGUCAGAUGUGAAAUCCAUGGGCUCAACCCAUGAACUGCAUUUGAAACUGUAGAUCUUGAGUGUCGGAGGGGCAAUCGGAACUCCUAGUGUAGCGGUGAAAUGCGUAGAUAUUAGGAGGAACACCAGUGGCGAAGGCGGAUUGCUGGACGAUAACUGACGGUGAGGCGCGAAAGUGUGGGGAGCAAACAGGAUUAGAUACCCUGGUAGUCCACACUGUAAACGAUGAAUACUAGGUGUGCGGGGACUGACCCCCUGCGUGCCGCAGUAAACACAAUAAGUAUUCCACCUGGGGAGUACGAUCGCAAGGUUGAAACUCAAAGGAAUUGACGGGGGCCC
Molecule: ribosomal RNA, 868 nt
Filed under: uncultured bacterium
Lineage: Bacteria
Description: bacterial SSU rRNA
Rfam family: Bacterial small subunit ribosomal RNA
Source: RNAcentral